AGCGAACGCUGGCGGCGUGCCUAACACAUGCAAGUCGAACGUGAAAAGGGAAACCUGAGUAAAGUGGCGUACGGGUGAGUAACGCGUAGGUAAUCUACCCCAGAAUCUGGAAUAACCUGCCGAAAGGCGGGCUAAUACUGGAUAGAGCGAGGGAACUCGUAAGAGAGUUUUUCGGGAAAGGGAGCCCGCAAGGGCCUUCGUUCUGGGAUGAGCCUGCGUCUCAUUAGCUAGUUGGUAAGGUAACGGCUUACCAAGGCGAUGAUGAGUAGCUGGUCUGAGAGGAUGAUCAGCCACACUGGGACUGAAACACGGUCCAGAAUCCUACGGGAGGCAGCAGUGGGGAAUCUUGCGCAAUGGACGAAAGUCUGACGCAGCCACGCCGCGUGAGUGAAGAAGGCCUUCGGGUUGUAAAGCUCUGUCGGAUGGGACGAACAUCUUCAUAGUGAAUAGCUAUGAGGACUGACGGUACCAUCAAAGGAAGCACCGGCUAACUCCGUG
This 498-nucleotide ribosomal RNA is filed under the name uncultured bacterium. Its description in RNAcentral is "partial 16S ribosomal RNA". It matches the Rfam family "Bacterial small subunit ribosomal RNA", at positions 29 to 507 of the family's 1533-position model. The record is from RNAcentral.